Molecule: ribosomal RNA, 1059 nt
Filed under: Neocochlearomyces chromolaenae
Lineage: Eukaryota; Fungi; Ascomycota; Dothideomycetes; Muyocopronales; Muyocopronaceae
Description: SSU rRNA
Rfam family: Eukaryotic small subunit ribosomal RNA
Source: RNAcentral
GCCAUGCAUGUCUAAGUAUAAGCAUUCAUACUGUGAAACUGCGAAUGGCUCAUUAAAUCAGUUAUCGUUUAUUUGAUAGUACCUUACUACUUGGAUACCCGUGGUAAUUCUAGAGCUAAUACAUGCUAAAAACCCCGACUUCGGAAGGGGUGUGUUUAUUAGAUAAAAAACCAAUGCCCUUCGGGGCUGCUUGGUGAUUCAUGAUAACCAAACGAAUCGCAUGGCCUUGAGCCGGCGAUGGUUCAUUCAAAUUUCUGCCCUAUCAACUUUCGAUGGUAGGAUCUGGGCCUACCAUGGUAUCAACGGGUAACGGGGAAUUAGGGUUCGAUUCCGGAGAGGGAGCCUGAGAAACGGCUACCACAUCCAAGGAAGGCAGCAGGCGCGCAAAUUACCCAAUCCCGACUCGGGGAGGUAGUGACAAUAAAUACUGAUACAGGGCUCUUUUGGGUCUUGUAAUUGGAAUGAGUACAAUUCAAAUCCCUUAACGAGGAACAAUUGGAGGGCAAGUCUGGUGCCAGCAGCCGCGGUAAUUCCAGCUCCAAUAGCGUAUAUUAAAGUUGUUGCAGUUAAAAAGCUCGUAGUUGAACCUUGGGCCAGGCUGGCCGGUCCGCCUAACCGCGUGCACUGGUCCGGCCGGGCCCUUUCCUCUGGGGAGCCUCAUGCCCUUCACUGGGCGUGUUGGGGAACCAGGACUUUUACUUUGAAAAAAUUAGAGUGUUCAAAGCAGGCCUUUGCUCGGAUACAUUAGCAUGGAAUAAUAGAAUAGGACGUGCGGUCCUAUUUUGUUGGUUUCUAGAACCGCCGUAAUGAUUAAUAGGGACAGUCGGGGGCAUCAGUAUUCAGACGCGAGAGGUGAAAUUCUUAGACCGUCUGAAGACUAACUACUGCGAAAGCAUUUGCCAAGGAUGUUUUCAUUAAUCAGUGAACGAAAGUUGGGGGAUCGAAGACGAUCAGAUACCGUCGUAGUCUCAACCGUAAACUAUGCCGACUAGGGAUCGGGCGACGUUCCAAUUAUGACUCGCCCGGCACCUUACGAGAAAUCAAAGUUUUUGGGUUCUG